GGUUAAGUGACUAAGCGUACACGGUGGAUGCCUUGGCAGUCAGAGGCGAUGAAAGACGUAGUAACUUGCGAUAAGCCCAGAUUAGGUAGUAACAACCAUUUGAGUCUGGGAUUUCUGAAUGGGGAAACCCACGUGCAUAAGCACGUAUCCUUACCUGAAUACAUAGGGUAAGGAGGCGAACCGGGGGAACUGAAACAUCUAAGUACCCCGAGGAAAAGAAAUCAACCGAGAUUCCGAAAGUAGCGGCGAGCGAAAUUGGACUAGCCCUUAAGCUUUACACGCGUUAGACGAACGGUCUGGAAAGUCCGACGAUACAGGGUGAUAGUCCCGUAGUUGACGACGUGUGUUCAGUGAAAUCGAGUAGGGCGGGACACGUGAUAUCCUGUCUGAAUAUGGGGGGACCAUCCUCCAAGGCUAAAUACUACUGACUGACCGAUAGUGAACCAGUACCGUGAGGGAAAGGCGAAAAGAACCCCUGUGAGGGGAGUGAAAUAGAACCUGAAACCGUGUACGUACAAGCAGUAGGAGCAGGCUUUGUCCUGUGACUGCGUACCUUUUGUAUAAUGGGUCAGCGACUUAUAUUCAGUGGCAAGGUUAACCAUCUAGGGGAGCCGUAGGGAAACCGAGUCUUAACUGGGCGUUCAGUCUCUGGAUAUAGACCCGAAACCAGGUGAUCUAGCCAUGGGCAGGUUGAAGGUUGAGUAACAUCAACUGGAGGACCGAACCGACUAAUGUUGAAAAAUUAGCGGAUGACUUGUGGCUAGGGGUGAAAGGCCAAUCAAACCUGGAGAUAGCUGGUUCUCCCCGAAAGCUAUUUAGGUAGCGCCUCGGACGAAUACUACUGGGGGUAGAGCACUGUUAAGGCUAGGGGGUCAUCCCGACUUACCAACCCUUUGCAAACUCCGAAUACCAGUAAGUACUAUCCGGGAGACACACGGCGGGUGCUAACGUCCGUCGUGGAGAGGGAAACAACCCAGACCGCCAGCUAAGGUCCCAAAUUACUACUAAGUGGGAAACGAUGUGGGAAGGCUCAGACAGCCAGGAUGUUGGCUUAGAAGCAGCCAUCAUUUAAAGAAAGCGUAAUAGCUCACUGGUCGAGUCGGCCUGCGCGGAAGAUGUAACGGGGCUAAGUAGUAAACCGAAGCUGCGGCAAUAUACUUUUGUAUAUUGGGUAGGGGAGCGUUCUGUAAGCGGUUGAAGGUGUGUGGUAACGCAUGCUGGACGUAUCAGAAGUGCGAAUGCUGACAUGAGUAACGAUAAAGGGGGUGAAAAACCUCCUCGCCGGAAGACCAAGGGUUCCUGUCCAACGUUAAUCGGGGCAGGGUAAGUCGACCCCUAAGGCGAGGCCGAAAGGCGUAGUCGAUGGGAAACGGGUUAAUAUUCCCGUACUUCUUACAAUUGCGAUGGGGGGACGGAGAAGGCUAGGUGGGCCUGGCGACGGUUGUCCAGGUUCAAGUGCGUAGGCUUAAGAGUUAGGUAAAUCCGGCUCUUUUUAAGGCUGAGACACGACGUCGAGCAUCUACGGAUGUGAAGUCAUUGAUGCCAUGCUUCCAGGAAAAGCCUCUAAGCUUCAGAUUGUAAGGAAUCGUACCCCAAACCGACACAGGUGGUCGGGUAGAGAAUACCAAGGCGCUUGAGAGAACUCGGGUGAAGGAACUAGGCAAAAUGGUACCGUAACUUCGGGAGAAGGUACGCUCUUGAUGGUGAAGUCCCUUGCGGAUGGAGCUGACGAGAGUCGCAGAUACCAGGUGGCUGCAACUGUUUAUUAAAAACACAGCACUGUGCAAAAUCGUAAGAUGACGUAUACGGUGUGACGCCUGCCCGGUGCCGGAAGGUUAAUUGAUGGGGUUAGACUUCGGUCGAAGCUCUUGAUCGAAGCCCCGGUAAACGGCGGCCGUAACUAUAACGGUCCUAAGGUAGCGAAAUUCCUUGUCGGGUAAGUUCCGACCUGCACGAAUGGCGUAAUGAUGGCCACGCUGUCUCCACCCGAGACUCAGUGAAAUUGAAAUCGCUGUGAAGAUGCAGUGUACCCGCGGCUAGACGGAAAGACCCCGUGAACCUUUACUACAGCUUGGCACUGAACAUUGACCCUACAUGUGUAGGAUAGGUGGGAGGCUUUGAAGCACGUACGCCAGUAUGUGUGGAGCCGUCCUUGAAAUACCACCCUUGUAGUGUUGAUGUUCUAACGUCGACCCCUUAUCGGGGUUGCGGACAGUGCCUGGUGGGUAGUUUGACUGGGGCGGUCUCCUCCCAAAGAGUAACGGAGGAGCACGAAGGUGGGCUAAUCACGGUUGGACAUCGUGAGGUUAGUGCAAUGGCAUAAGCCCGCUUGACUGCGAGAAUGACAAUUCGAGCAGGUGCGAAAGCAGGUCAUAGUGAUCCGGUGGUUCUGAAUGGAAGGGCCAUCGCUCAACGGAUAAAAGGUACUCCGGGGAUAACAGGCUGAUACCGCCCAAGAGUUCAUAUCGACGGCGGUGUUUGGCACCUCGAUGUCGGCUCAUCACAUCCUGGGGCUGAAGUCGGUCCCAAGGGUAUGGCUGUUCGCCAUUUAAAGUGGUACGCGAGCUGGGUUUAGAACGUCGUGAGACAGUUCGGUCCCUAUCUGCCGUGGGCGUUGGAAGAUUGAAGGGGGCUGCUCCUAGUACGAGAGGACCGGAGUGGACGAACCUCUGGUGUUCGGGUUGUGUCGCCAGACGCAUUGCCCGGUAGCUAAGUUCGGAAUCGAUAACCGCUGAAAGCAUCUAAGCGGGAAGCGAGCCCUGAGAUGAGUCUUCCCUGAUACUUUAAGUAUCCUAAAGGGUUGUCGGAGACUACGACGUUGAUAGGUCAGGUGUGUAAGUGCUGUGAGGCAUUGAGCUAACUGAUACUAAUUGCCCGUGAGGCUUAACCAU
RNAcentral lists this ribosomal RNA (2891 nucleotides) under Vibrio parahaemolyticus. Its description in RNAcentral is "LSU rRNA". It matches the Rfam family "Bacterial large subunit ribosomal RNA". Lineage: Bacteria; Pseudomonadati; Pseudomonadota; Gammaproteobacteria; Vibrionales; Vibrionaceae. The record is from RNAcentral. RNAcentral also lists the same sequence under 1 other name.